UUUUUCUUUUUUCUUUUUUUUUUUUUUAAUAGACCUUAAAGAUAUUGCACGGAAAUGAAAGACUAGAUAUGUGUACUGGAAUCUGCUCUUAUAUUAAUAAAGUAUGGUUUCUGGUGUUCAUUUAUUUGUUUAUUUAUUUCCCUUCUUAGGCUUGUAAUUCCCUUUAGGUGUGGAGUAAGAAUUGUCUUUUUUGUCAGUGAGACAUGAACAAGGCAGUAAAAUUCUGAAAUUCUAUGCAGAUUUAUUUCUAAUAAUACCAUUACAUAUUUUUGAUUUUUUCCUAUGAUUUAGCCCUUAAAGCUUUGCAUAACAAUUUGAAUGCAAAAUGUAGAUCCUAAAAGGAAUUACAGAAAGAAUAAAUAUUAUUAUAAUAGCAGAUCUUCCGUAAGAGUAAUAAAAAUAUUCACAGUAAUUUCAAAAUAUAUUCUGUUUUAUUAGGCUGUUUUAUUAGUUAUGUUGCAAAAAAAAAAAAAAAUCAAUUUCAAAACAAUGUGGUGCUUUAAAUACUACAGAUAAUUAUAAAAUACCAGGACAGGAUCAAAUAGAUACAAUUUAUAUACAAAUAAAUACAAAUCUUGGAUGGAAUUGAAGUUAUAUAGAGAGUCAAUAAAAGAUAAAUAAGUAGAUAAACUAUAACUGAAAACUCUACUCCAUAGCUUUCAGUGGCUUUUACUGUCUUUGGUUUAGAGUUGCUCCUUCAAUUAAAAGUUGCUGUUUGGCUCAUUUUGACUUUGGGAAAAUAUACUUUUGACUGUCCUGCAUAUUUCUUAGGGCAUCUGGCACAAAGAAGUUGCUUAGGGAAAUGCAUGAGUUGAACUAGGAUGUGAAUUGCUUAGGCAGUCUUUGUCAUUACAUUUGUCCAGGAUGUUAUAGAGAUCAUCUUACAAGACAGCUCAGUGACUGACUGUGCUCUUAGCCUCAUUCCACAAACAGAAAAAAAUAUUACUGUUUAUUUUAAAAUCUUGCUGAAUUUGAUGUAUCAAUUGUCUGCCAAGAAGCAUGGAGGGAAACUAUGUGAGAGUUUCCCAUUCUAGUAGAUUCUUCUUUUCUUUUGUGAACAUAGCCAAGUUUACCAACCCAGAUUCUAAUCUUUGUGAAACUUAUUGCCAUAUAUUGAUAAGCCUACAUUUACUGUGUUGGUCCUCUAAGGGACUUUUGGAUUGAAGUUACCUUUCAUAGAAGCAAUUCUUUCACAAUUCUUUGCAGUUGCUAAUUUCUAUUAUUCAUUUUAGAAAUGCUUUACAAUGAAAAAUAUAUGUGAUAUAAUACAGAUCUGUUCUGUCACCGCUAGAAAGGAAUAGCCUGCUGUUAGAAACAGGGGAGGCUCUGGUUAUCUGUGUAGUAUUUAACUUUCAGGAACUGCAGCACAUUUUAUUUGACAAUGCCCUGAGAAAUUAAACUUCCAGCCAUAUCUAAGAGGAUGAUAAACAUUUAAAGAGAAGAGGAUUUCAACAUUAAUCAUUCACUGAGAGCAAUGCAACUGAGAGAGACCAAGCUGAUGCUGAUGAAUAGCACUAACAGUGCUAAUGAAAGUUUUCAAUGUCCUCUACUGACAAGGCGGGCAUUAGAAAGUUUCUGCUGCUUUGAAAUGGAUAAAGCAUAGUAAUUCAAUAAAUGUUCUUUACUUGUAGUCUUUCCAAUACAUUUCUGAGCUUAGCUCUCAUAAGUAACAGUAACACCCUAUAAGUGUUUGCACCUUAGCAGGCUGUUAAAGAUUUGUAUAGCAGAGACCCAGAUGUCUGAAAUGUUCUGUGUGCAAGAGCUGUGGGGGUCACCCCAGGCAGUGCAGGAAGAGUCGCCUCCCCUCUCUGCUCAUCCUCCCCUGCUGGCACUGACUGAUUGGGGUAACCUACACAAGAAGCAGGUACCAUUUCCCCUGCUUUUCAUAGUGCCUCUUUUAUUUAUAAGAAAUAGAUCAAAGCACAAAAAGGCAAGAAGCGAAAGUAUCAAGGACAGUAGGAUCCAAGUCAGCUAUACUCUGAUGAAAACUAAUUAAGGAAUAGUUUUUUCUGGAAUUGGCUCAAAGCCCAAAGAGGUUCCCAGGCUUUUUGCUCUUCUCUAUAAUGCAAUGAUUUUUUCAGCCCUGACAAUGAGAAAUGCAGGGAGAAGAAAAUCCCUGGUAGCCAGUGAGUGCUCUGUGGUUUACCUUUCCUGCUGGCUGUCCUAGAAGGGAGGGCACAGUGACUUGUGUACCUAUAGGACAUGAACAUGUAGUUGAACUUUCCUUUCUCUGGGGGAUAUUUUAAUAUGCUUAGUGAUAUUUUUAGACCGUGGAAGUCUUUUGUGUAGCAUAACUACCCCAAUACUUAAAACAGGUCUUUAAAACAUCCACACUGGUGGUAUUUUUCUUGAAAACUGAAAUGAAAAUAUUGUGUAGAAGUAUCUAUUAAUUGCAUAAAACUAGUGAGAUUUGGUUACAGGUGCAGAAUUAAAUUGCUGUGUAUCAACAGCAAUGAAAAGAUCUCCAUCCAAGAUUUUUUCUAUCUUUGGGGAAGAUUAUAUGAUAAAAUCUGUUCUGCAUCCCCAUUUACAUUAUCCUUGUUUCUGGAGUUGCUAGUUGCAAUGUUAUUGUAAAUUGAGAUAUAAAUUGGAGAGUGCAUGAUUAAAACGUGUCUGGAUGAUAUGCAUUGUUUAAAGUUGUAUAAAAUACAACAUACCUGGCUUUCGCUAAGUUUACUGUUGGCUUUGGCUGUGUAAUUAAUGCCAAGGUCAGCUGGGAAAAAUCUGAUAAUUUUCUCAUUUCUAUGGGUUUGCUUUUUUUUUUUGUUUUUGCUAGCUGAAAGUUUAAUUGCUCUAAUGGAAUGAAAUACUGAACAUUAGGAUGCCUAGUAAGGUAAAUAAUUUGCUUAAAUCCAAUUUGGACGCUGUCUAGUCAUUGUAGAAGCAGCAUUCAGCAUGUUAGGUAUUGGCAUUGCUAUAUGAAGAAACUUUAAUGCCAUAAAAAUGAUGGCAUUACUACUUCCUCUGGUAGUUGUAUCUUUUUAGCAACUGUUCACUCAAUUUCCCAAAGUUUAUUUUUUGUGCCAGCUUAGGGAAAAUAGGAUUCUGCAGCCCUUAUGUUCUGUUCUCAGGUCUCCUACUGAUUUUAAUUUCUCUAAAUCAGCAGAAUUUCUAAAGGAAAGGGGAGAAAGAUAAAAUAUUAAUAUUUUAAUGCCUUUAUAUUUCAGAGCUAGUUGUAUUACAACAUCUACAGCUUUACCACAUAGCAGUCAUUUCAAAGGAAAUGAGCCUUAUAUGCCUCUAAAAAUGAUAGUUUCUGGCAAUAUGAAGAGUGUAAAAACUGCAUGAUGUUUUAAGGGCAUAAAAGUAGUCAUUAGGCAGUCAUAACAGAAAUGAUAUAUGAAUUUCAGUUCUGGUAGAUAUUGUUUAAUCUUUUCCCAAAAUAAAUCCUGAAGUCAAUUUGUGUUCCUUGGUUCUGUCACUGUGAUUCAGCCUUCUUCCCCCUCUAUCACCUGCCAGGCCUGUGCAGAGCCAGGCAGCGUGUGCAGACUCACUCUCCUCACACUGUCCUGUUGUCAUGUUGGUCAUCAGCUGCCUGCCUGAGUUGUUGAGCUGCUGCCUUUUAGUCCUUUUGCUCUGGCAGGAACCUCCAGAAUCCCCCACCUAUUGCAUUUUUCCAUAAGAAACCUGUAAUUUCAGCUUCUGAUGUUCUUGCCAUCUUUGCAAAUGCACCCUUGCACAAAUCCCUUGCUCCCCACCUUUCCAUUUCUAAUAAUUUUUCCCCCAUGAUCACGAGCCACUUCUUUCUUUUAGUACAGUCAAUUGUCUGUAGUUAAGCUGGCCAGCUGGAUGAAUAAGGCACUGAAUGAGGAAGGAUUUUCAGUAGCAGUGAUAAAAGUAAAGAGUAGUGUAUUAACCAAGCAAGCAUAUAUUUUGUUACAUAAUACUUUGACAGUGUUCCCUAUUAUAACAGUGGUAGACAUAUUCUAAUCUAAUAAUUUUCUUAUCCUUUAGCCUAAAAAUUUUUUAAACAGAAUAUUUUUAAAUUAAGAGAUCAAUCUUAUGUAAUAUAGGAGGGCUUGAAAGCUUUGGUUAUUAAUAAAUCAUGGUGCCAAGUUACCACAAAGAAUCUUCAAAAGCUGAUUUAACUUAUUAUUUUAUUAUUAUUAUAUCUCUUUAGUUUUCCAACUGUUACUUUCAGUUCAGGCUUC
Molecule: long non-coding RNA, 4151 nt
Organism: Taeniopygia guttata (zebra finch)
Lineage: Eukaryota; Metazoa; Chordata; Aves; Passeriformes; Estrildidae
Source: Ensembl